GAUGAACGCUGGCGGCGUGCCUAAUACAUGCAAGUCGAGCGAACGGACGAGAAGCUUGCUUCUCUGAUGUUAGCGGCGGACGGGUGAGUAACACGUGGAUAACCUACCUAUAAGACUGGGAUAACUUCGGGAAACCGGAGCUAAUACCGGAUAAUAUUUUGAACCGCAUGGUUCAAAAGUGAAAGACGGUCUUGCUGUCACUUAUAGAUGGAUCCGCGCUGCAUUAGCUAGUUGGUAAGGUAACGGCUUACCAAGGCAACGAUGCAUAGCCGACCUGAGAGGGUGAUCGGCCACACUGGAACUGAGACACGGUCCAGACUCCUACGGGAGGCAGCAGUAGGGGAUCUUCCGCAAUGGGCGAAAGCCUGACGGAGCAACGCCGCGUGAGUGAUGAAGGUCUUCGGAUCGUAAAACUCUGUUAUUAGGGAAGAACAUAUGUGUAAGUAACUGUGCACAUCCUGACGGUACCUAAUCAGAAAGCCACGGCUAACUACGUG
RNAcentral lists this ribosomal RNA (497 nucleotides) under uncultured bacterium. RNAcentral's name for it is "partial 16S ribosomal RNA". It matches the Rfam family "Bacterial small subunit ribosomal RNA", at positions 28 to 507 of the family's 1533-position model. The record is from RNAcentral.